GACGAACGCUGGCGGCGUGCCUAAUACAUGCAAGUCGAGCGAAGUUUUUCUGGUGCUUGCACCGGAAAAACUUAGCGGUGAACGGGUGAGUAACACGUAAAGAACCUGCCUCAUAGACUGGGACAACUAUUGGAAACGAUAGCUAAUACCGGAUAAUAGCAUUAACUGCAUGGUUGAUGUUUAAAAGUUGGUUUUGCUAACACUAUGAGAUGGCUUUGCGGUGCAUUAGCUAGUUGGUGGGGUAAAGGCCUACCAAGGCGACGAUGCAUAGCCGACCUGAGAGGGUGAUCGGCCACACUGGGACUGAGACACGGCCCAGACUCCUACGGGAGGCAGCAGUAGGGAAUCUUCCGCAAUGGGCGAAAGCCUGACGGAGCAACGCCGCGUGAGUGAAGAAGGAUUUCGGUUCGUAAAGCUCGGUUGUUAGGGAAGAAUGAUUGUGUAGUAACUAUACACAGUAGAGACGGUACCUAACCAGAAAGCCACGGCUAACUACGUG
RNAcentral lists this ribosomal RNA (499 nucleotides) under uncultured bacterium. Its description in RNAcentral is "partial 16S ribosomal RNA". It matches the Rfam family "Bacterial small subunit ribosomal RNA", at positions 28 to 507 of the family's 1533-position model. The record is from RNAcentral.